UACGUAGGGUGCAAGCGUUGUCCGGAAUUAUUGGCGUAAAGAGCUCGUAGGCGGUCUGUCGCGUCUGCUGUGAAAACUCAGGGCUUAACCCUGAGCUUGCAGUGGGUACGGGCAGACUAGAGGUGGCGGUAGGGGAGACUGGAAUUCCGUGGUGUAGCGGUUGAAAGUGCGCAGAUAUCAGGAGGAACACCGGUGGCGAAGGCGGGUCUCUGGGCCGU
RNAcentral lists this ribosomal RNA (218 nucleotides) under uncultured bacterium. RNAcentral's name for it is "partial 16S ribosomal RNA". It matches the Rfam family "Bacterial small subunit ribosomal RNA", at positions 524 to 737 of the family's 1533-position model. The record is from RNAcentral.